Molecule: ribosomal RNA, 397 nt
Filed under: uncultured bacterium
Lineage: Bacteria
Description: partial 16S ribosomal RNA
Rfam family: Bacterial small subunit ribosomal RNA
Source: RNAcentral
AUACGUAGGUGACAAGCGUUAUCCGGAUUUACUGGGCGUAAAGGGCGUGUAGGCGGUCUUGCAAGUCAGAAGUGAAAUUCCUGAGCUCAACUCGGGCGCUGCUUCUGAAACUGCAGGACUUGAGUGCUGGAGGGGAUAGCGGAAUUCCUAGUGGAGCGGUAAAAUGCGCAGAUAUUAGGAAGAACACCGGUGGCGAAGGCGGCUAUCUGGACAGUAACUGACGCUGAGGCGCGAAAGCGUGGGGAGCAAACAGGAUUAGAUACCCUGGUAGUCCACACUGUAAACGAUGAAUGCUAGGUGUAGGAGGUAUCGACCCCUUCUGUGCCGCAGUAAACACAGUAAGCAUUCCGCCUGGGGAGUACGGUCGCAAGAUUAAAACUCAAAGGAAUUGACGGGG